GCUGUUCUCCACAGCAGCUGUGCUGUGUGACAUUCCCACCAGCCUUGCACAGGGACCCAGUUUCUCCACACCCUCACCCACUCUUGUCGUUUCUGUUUUUGUUUUUGGGUACUACCAUCCUAAUGCGUGUGUGUUGUGAAAAGUGUUCAGGAUUUUGCAGUUUGAAGAACAGGAGGAUCGCCCACACUCUCCCCGAGAAGUGGUUCACGUGCCCUCUUUACCUCUCUCCAAGUCGACAUGCGUGGUACGUGUCCAUGUGUCGUUUUGGGAGCAAGUUGCAGGCAUUUGGGUGCUAACAACAUCAGCUGACUUCUCCUGGGAUGAGCAGAGUGUCCCCUCGCCACCCUCAGGAUGUGCCAGAGUCCUGUCUGCUCUCCAGACCCUUUUGAACAUCCCCAACCAUCCCAGUGGCUGCCAGGCUCCCCACUGGUUCGCACCCAGCCUCUCAGUCCAGACUCUUUUGUUGACGACACCCACUUUGCUGGAGGUAGGGUCUAUGGUAGCCGUUGCCAACCUUAACUUUGCCCCCAGGAGAUGUUUACCAACGUCCAGAGAUGUUUGUGGCUGUCACUCUGGGGGGUGCUGUUAACACCCUACGACGUGUGGGGCGCCCCCACACCCUGGGGUACCCCACCCCUGACGUGAGCAGCUCUGUGGCCGAGAACCCUGGGCUGGAGGCCCGCUGAGCUCUGAGUCGCACGUCUCCGGCCAGAUCCUUGGUGGCUUGUGUGCUUGCUCAUCAGCAGGCAGGUGGCCAACAUCGGGCCCCCCAACUUCGGCCUGCUGGGCGAGGGGCAUCUAGGACCCUCCACUGUGCAGGUGGGGUUCCCCUUUGGCAAGUCCUGAGUGACAUGGGUUGCCCCACUUUGUCCCGAUGGAUACCCCCGCACCCAGGAACCCUUCCUGGUAGCAUCCACCACUCUGAUGGUCCCAGGAGAAGCCAGUGACCAUGCUGGGGGCUGCAGAUUACGCUGCUCGCCCUUCGGUCCUCUGCGUGGACGGCGACGCUCUGUAAAGGAAGACCUCCCUCUAUUUCCCCUUCGGCCCAGUCUCUUCUACUUUUUUUGUUUAGUUUUAGCUUUAGAUUUUUAGAAAAUCUAUCUCUGGAUUGAUGCAUUUCUGUUCAUUCAAAGUGUUAAGAUGAGUGACAGCCAUUAUUCUGUUUGCCACUCAGAUUGUCCAAAAUUCAGCCGCUGGGAUUUCAUUCUGACUGGUUCCCGUCUCCACGCGCCACCUCCUUCCAGCCUCACCCUCUGCUCCGCUGUCUCGGGCUUGGGAUGGACCCUUGCCCCAGUGCCUUCUGGUCCGGAACGGGAUCUCAGAACCAAGACCCCGGCAUGGUCAGAUGCUGCUGGUGUCAUUCUCUGAGCUGUUCCAUGAGACCAGCCUAGAUUAUAGAAUACAUAGGAAACGUACACAAAAACGAACGAGGACACCGUUUCCCUUUUAGACGCAGCGUUAGGAAGGCUCUUCUUAAACUGAAACUCUCGGUUUCUAAGAACUUCACUCUAUUACUCAGUUGCUUUGUCCCACAAGACUCGGUUUCGCAAUGUCAGCCUCAGCCCCAGGCGCCGGGGGAGCCUGCGAUUUCCCUGCGUCCUUGGUACGCAGCGCAGGCCAGCUGAAGAGCAUCAGCCGGAACCACGUUCGGAAGCCCCCUGCAAUGAUUCUCCUCCCUGAAGGGGCGCAUAAUCAAAACGAAAAAUAUUUGAAAUUUAACCGUUUCCUCGAAAUACCAAAAAUAACACUCUGCACGUAGACUUUUUUCUUUCAAAUCUUGAAAAUAUUUUGAAAAUUUAAGUGUUUUAAGGUACUGUACCACACGCGGCCCCCACCCCAGAUAAGAGAGGGGCUCCGCCGCGUGGGGUCUCAGCCUGUGUCCCCUCCUGGUGCCUUUUCUGUGCUCUCAUGUGAUGCUCCAAUGCCUGGUCGCACGGGGCAAGUGACCAUGCCGCCACCCAAGCGUGUCUCGCCUGGCUCUGUGGACCAGUGGGCUGUUCCGGCGCCUGCAGCCGGCCCUGCCCGCACCGAGUGUUCCUGUGGCCGCUUGGGGUCCCUGCGGAGUUCACCCUCGGGAUGCGGCAGACCCAGACAGUGCCCUGGGCUUCCGUCCUCCUGCCCGCAUCAAGCCAGCAUCCUAUGGCAGCAUGUCCUUGUCCCCCAGCUGCCCAUCCAGUGCCAGCCACCUGCCUCUGGGGAACCCGACCUGGUUUCGUGUCAGCAGGAGCAGGCCAGUGGCUUGUGCUUUCUCCCCGCAAGCUGCACACAGUCCCUGGGGGGCCGAGCAGGGCCGCUUCGCUCUGAAUGAGCUCCGUCCUCCGCACUGUGUGGCCUGGAGCAAGCUGCCCUCUCUGGGCCUCAUCCUCCCCACCUGUGAAAUAAGGCGAAUUGAGAAGCUCCUUCUCCUGAGGUGCUUGGGGCUUGAUGGCCAGUUAGGAGAGUGACGCAGGCGAGGGGCACGCAAGGCAUCAGGCCAUGGACUCUGGCACGUGAGGACACGGCUGGGCUGUCAGGAAGUGGCCUUCGAGGAACGGGAUAGGCUUUGCUCAAAUCCAGACAUGGCAGGUGUCCACCACCACUGCCUGCAAGAGGACGCCACCCCAUGCCAAGGGCACGCCCAGCCAGGUGCAGACGGAGCUAAGGACACAGGCAGGAGGGGGACAGACAGACGACAGGCAGCAGAGCCGUCCUGGGGGCCGGGAGUCUGUUGGAGACCCUGAGCUCCCUUCAGGACUGUGACCCCACCCCAGGGCAGGCCUGUCUCCCAGCGACGAGAACGUGACAGUGGGAAGUCGACGGAGGCCCUGGAUCCUGUGUUCUUCACCUGUGUCCCACCCACAGCCCCCCUGGCCACUGUGUGCUCCCUCUGGAAUCCUCAGGCCGGCGGGGACGCAGGAACACGCAGCCGUCUGUGUCUGGGCAUGGCCUGCGCUGUGCCCCCUUUUCUGGAGUUCUGGAGCACUGCCACACGGCCCCGACUCUGUCCAUCGCCCGGCUCCCCACCUCGGCCGCACCUCCCGCCUUGCCAUCACAGGCUGGGACAGCCACAGUCCACUCACUCAGCCUUCCGGGGGUGCACGGGUCGGGCAGGACCUGGUGUGAGAGCACCGUAGAGAAUUUGAACACCAUCAUGGAAUGGGCCAGAAGGGAUCUGCUCUCAUCAUCUCCGGUCUGUCAAUUCUGAAUCAGGUCAGGGUGCAGCUCCCUCGCUGGCCCCCUCAGCUGCCCUGGGACGCCUCCACAAUGUGCCCUUCUCUGGCCACAUGCGGCUGUGGCUCCCUCCCCUCCAGACUUCUCCACCCCUACCCGUGGACCGUGGACCACCCCCACGUCCCUGCACGUCACCACACAGCAGAGGGCCAGGCAGCGCAGAGGCAGGGCGAUGAGCACGGCGCAGAGGAGGCCGGUCCACCUCAGAGGAGUGACUGGGCCCUGUGGUCCCUGCGGGUGUUGUGGGGGACUGACAGGCCCCACGUUCCCUGUGCCUGGGAUGAGCCAGAGCCAGAACCCCCUGGCCUCGGCAGCUCCUGCAGGGCUUCACUGCCUGGCCAGGCCUGGCCUGGAGCCAACUUUUCCUCAUCGACUGUGGUCUGGGACUUUCCUGGUCAGGCUCCUUGCCACAGGGACAGCUGCCGGGGAAACCCCGUGUGAAAGUGGAGUCAUCCAGGUCAGCCCAGCAGCAAGGGUGCCGGUGAGGAGAAAGUAAACACAGCUGGGGCUUGCCCGGAGGAAACGGACGACCUGUGGUGGCCUGGUCACUGGGGGUGUCCAGCAGGGACUUCCCGUGGCUCCUAUGGCCUUUGGCUGAGACCCACGACAACUUUCACCAGAUACUUCCUCAAGGACCUGAAUCUGGGGGGGACUGUGCACCCAGAUGAAAGGUGCUGGAACUAGGUAGCGAUGAGUGCUGCACGAUGCCGUGAAUGACUUCGUGCCACUGAAUUGUGCACUUGAAAGUGAUUAAAAUGGUAAAUUUUAUGUGCUGUGUAUUUUACCAGAAUAAAAAUAAAUAAGUAAAUGGGAAGAACUCACACCCGUUUGCUGGGCCGAGCAGGAAUUACCUGGUAAGGUGGAGCCUGCAUGGACCCCCAGGGCCCCCGAGAUCUGCCCACCUGCCCUUUGGGAAAGCAGGGCCAGAGUGGCGUCCAGGAGCCUGGGCUCUCGUGGCUGGACCCAGGCAGAGCCACAGGCUGAGGCUUGUGGAGUAGGGGAGCCGAGAAGACCAUGCUGAGGCCAACCCCUCAGGGGCCCAGGGGCUCCAUGGGCAGCCCCUGCAGGGGGUGAGAGGACACCCACCUUCUCCUCUUCUCUGUCCUGGUCCUGACGCGGCCCAGAACGGCCCCUCCCAGUCACUU
Equus quagga is the source of this 4355-nucleotide long non-coding RNA. RefSeq lists it as uncharacterized. The record is from RefSeq and is a predicted model, not a curated record. NCBI's taxonomy places the organism in Eukaryota, Metazoa, Chordata, Mammalia, Perissodactyla, Equidae. The transcript has 3 exons.